This 247-nucleotide ribosomal RNA is filed under the name uncultured bacterium. RNAcentral's name for it is "partial 16S ribosomal RNA". It matches the Rfam family "Bacterial small subunit ribosomal RNA", at positions 523 to 769 of the family's 1533-position model. The record is from RNAcentral.
AUACGGAGGGUCCGAGCGUUAUCCGGAUUUAUUGGGUUUAAAGGGUGCGUAGGCGGCUUUGUAAGUCAGCGGUGAAAUUUUGCAGCUUAACUGUAAAAGCGCCGUUGAUACUGUGGAGCUAGGAUUUGGUUGCUGUGGGCGGAAUGUGUGGUGUAGCGGUGAAAUGCAUAGAGAUCACACAGAAUAUCGAUUGCGAAGGCAGCUCACAAAGCCAAUAUUGACGCUGAGGCACGAAAGUGUGGGGAUC